AUACAAAUAAAAUUUGAUUUGAUAAUUUCCCAGAUGACACUUCAUGACAACAAACAUUCUUGUUCUUGUUCGUCUUCUGCACACAGAUUCUGCGUUCAGCUGCUCUUAAUUUAAUUCAGUUUUUGCUCCUUACAGACAAAGCAAAUUAAACCAUCAAAGAAGAUGGAGCUGAUUGAAGAAAAGAAAUGUUUUAUCCAUUCUCAAACUAGAGUAGCUGCAACAUGUUGCUUCACAGUUUGCCUCUUUGGAUUUACAUUCCUCCAAGUGAUGGGAUCUGCUGUGAAAUCAAUAUCAUAUUUUAGUUUUCAAUAUGUUUUAUUGAAGGUGGAAGAAAAUGUGUCGUAUUCAUGUGUGUGUAUUGCCACGCAUACUUGAUUGAAUCGGAUCCAAUUUAUCUGGACUGCUGGUUAAAAACAGUCCACAAUCUAUCUUUUUACUGAGACUUUUCUAAGCACUUUGUAAGAUAUGUGACCUUUGAGAACCACUGCAGAUCACCACAGAUAUUCAUAUUUCCACAUUUUCACUCAGAUUUCAUAAGCAACUUGGUGUUAUUAGGAGACAUGACAAAGUUUAUAUAUGAAGUCAAACUGGGUUUAGAGGUUCAGCUGUAAAUAGUACUGGUACCUGCUGCUCUCUGUGCUGCAUUAACCUAUAUAAACAGCAUGAUGUUCUAGCUCUACUUUUGCACUUCUUUUUCCUUUAAUUGGGUCGAUAAAGGGGAAAUAAGUCAGAACUUUUAUCCAUGAGGUCGUUAGUGUCUAUAAACCGAGUCCAGCUCCUGAUGAAGGCUAUUCUUUGCUCUCGACCAGCUAGGAGUUGGUGUUGGAAUCGGUCCUGCCUUAUGAUGCAUGAACUGAACAGAAAGACAAACAGCUAAGUCAGAACUGGUUCUUAUCUGCACAAGAUCCAAGAUGCUUGGAUGGAAGCAUCCAAGCAUAAUCAGAGAAGGUUUAGUGGAAGAAAAAAAGAGGGAGUGUGUUAGAAAAAUGUCCUCAGGUUAAUGCUGCUUCCAGUUUGUUACCUGGAUUUGAUGUCAGAUGUGAGGUAACAGCAUUCUAGUUCUAGAUGUUGAGAUUUCAAAAUGGCGGCGCCCAUAAACAUCGUUAGCAAAAGCUUUCUAAACAUCAUUUUAAACUUUACUUUCCAAAAGCAAACAUCACUUUUAAUUUGUUCAGUUUAGAGUUGUAAAAUUGAUUUCAGACACACUCAUGUGAGUCUUGUAAAAUAAACAGGAUUCCACCACAGACUACUAGUCUGGAUGAGAGGAGCGGCCAUAUUGAAACGUAUGGCCGCUCCACUACUCCCAGUUAGAAAGUUCUAACUGGGAGUAGUGGAGAUGCUCCAAGUUUCCCAGUAGGAAAUCCGUUUUAUAAGUUAAAAUGUCUUGUUCCACUGGCAGAUUUCACUUUUAAUUAGCACUUUUCAUCAAUAUAAAGAAGUUAUCCACUUAAAGCAAGCUCAUAUUGCUUGCUGAAAACCUUCUUACAAGUUAUUUUUGUCUUAUUUCAAGUGUUAUAACACAUUUGAACUAAAAAUUAGAUAAAUACACUUGGUUAGAGCUUGAAUUUUUGCAGUGAAGUUGAUGGCUGCUGUUAAAACAAAAGGUCGAUGUAAAAAAAAAAGAGACCAGACCAAGUGUUAGCAUUCACCGUUCAGUACACGGACAUGUGUUUCAGUAGGAUGACAUUUUUGUGCUGAAAAUCUGAUUUCUGUUAGUUUUAUGCAAUAUUCAAAUUUGGAGAGAAUUCAUCAAAAUUAGGAGAAGUAUUUGAAAUAUAAGCUAUACAUUGAAGCAAGUUAUUUAAUUUUCCAUUGAUAUCUUUUGUCGGUUUUUUUUUGUCCUGGUUUUGAAUAUCUGGAGUUUUCAGCUCGUUUCCAGGUGGAAGCCGGAGAGUGGAACAAAUCUCCGUACAAUUUAAUCUCUCUCCCUCAGUGUUUCCUGCAAGAAUCGGCUUAUAGCUCACCUCCACGGCUCGCUGUACGUGUCAGAUUUAGUUAAACAGAAUCGCUGCUAAUCAUCGCCCCCAGCUCACAUACUUUUGUUAAUUUUGUGUAAGUAGAGCCGUGUGUGUUUAGAUAAAGACUCACACGAUGCAGUCUCCUGGGUUGACACUGAGCAAGUGUGUUUGAAUAUCAUUAAAACCGCUGCUGUAUCUUAUCGGUGGGUGCAUGUGUGUGUGUGUGUGUGUGUGUGUGUUAGCUCGCGCCUUGUGGAAAUGUGCAGACAAAGGAGUUUGUGCAACGCCAUUAGUCACAGGGCGAACAGUUCAGAGAUAGCUGAGUCAUUUGUGUUUGAGAGAGACACUUCAAAGAUGGCAGGCGCGCUGGAGUCCCUGCUCGUUAACGUCUUCUCCUCCGAGAACGUCUUCCGCUGAAACUCGCUGAUUGUUGAAGUGUGGGACACGUAAAGACAACGGCAGAGUGUGUGGUUCCCUCAGAUCUGUUGGAUGGAGUUUGGAACAGCGUGACACAUUUCUCUUCAUUCACGUGUCGAGCUUCUGCGAGGCUGCCAAACGGGCUUCUGGCUGACGGCCUCUGACGUGCAGCACGAGGCUCUACCUGGCUGAUUGCUGACGCGGAGGAAGGAGAACAGAUACGAGGAUGAAAGGAAGACAGAGAGAGAGCAGGGCUUUGUUUCCAUCCUCAAUCUUCUCUGAAGGACUCCGUCAGAUCCCAAAUAUGUAAUAUUCCUGGAUCCACAUUGACAUCAAGACUGUUGAUAUUUGUUGAUGAACCAGACACCACUGACUUUCUGGGAGCAAUAUCAGAUAUAUUAACUCUGAACCUUCAAAUAUUUUCUUGAAAAAAGUUUGUUUAAAAGAAAAAGCAGCAGAACUCAACUCCAUCUGAUCUCAAUAACGUCGCACCCAGCAAAACCAUCAAUCCCAGUUAUUGGAAGUACAAUUAUGAGCAGAUAAUGGCCUUCGAAGAAAAAUGCCGGGGUCUGAGAAAGGAGGCAAUUACAUGUUUCUGAUCCUAUGCGGCCCAAACAUGAGGGCUCGUGUACAAGAAUUUCAUUUGAAACCAGUUUUUCAGCUUCAUGGUGGCUCUGGAGGAAUCUAAGGGUGAAUGAUGUUUGCUGGGAUGAUAUUAUAUAAAUAUAACCUACAGAAGGCUGUAGAAACCUCCUGUGUUUCACAGCUUUUCACUUCAAUCAGAGUAAUAUUUGUUGAGACGCCACCUGCAGUUCCUGAGGCCCACCCUAUGAAGCAUCAGGUAAUAUAAAGUCAAAUAUCUGAAGCCCUUUUUAGACAAUAAUUGGAAAGAAAAAGGCUAAAAAUGAACAAGAUCUGAGCUAAUUUUUAAAUAUUGUAAUUGUUUUUGAUGCAGUCACUUUAAAUACUUUGUUACUGUUGCCUACAAAGGUCCUACAGGGGUGGAUGUUGGUUAUUAGUUAUGGCUACAAACACUGUGAUGCAAUAAUUAGAUUGUGUUGAUGUAUGUUUCUGUAUCACCCUGACUGGUUUCUGUAGUGGACAAGAUGAUGACCACUGAUCACAGGCGUUGAACUCAUUUUCAUUCUGGGCCGUAUCAAAAAUCUGAAUGUUCUUAAAGGGCCAGCUGUGCCAGAAUGUCUUGAUAAACCCCAUUAAACUGUUAAAAUGUUAA
Molecule: long non-coding RNA, 3609 nt
Organism: Xiphophorus couchianus (Monterrey platyfish)
Lineage: Eukaryota; Metazoa; Chordata; Actinopteri; Cyprinodontiformes; Poeciliidae
Exons: 4
Source: RefSeq, a predicted model, not a curated record